Molecule: ribosomal RNA, 461 nt
Filed under: uncultured bacterium
Lineage: Bacteria
Description: partial 16S ribosomal RNA
Rfam family: Bacterial small subunit ribosomal RNA
Source: RNAcentral
GACGAACGCUGGCGGCGUGCUUAACACAUGCAAGUCGAACGGAAAGGCCCUUCGGGGUACUCGAGUGGCGAACGGGUGAGUAACACGUGGGUGAUCUGCCCUGCACUUUGGGAUAAGCCUGGGAAACUGGGUCUAAUACCGAAUAGGACCGCGCGCUUCAUGGUGUGUGGUGGAAAGCUUUUGCGGUGUGGGAUGGGCCCGCGGCCUAUCAGCUUGUUGGUGGGGUAAUGGCCUACCAAGGCGACGACGGGUAGCCGGCCUGAGAGGGUGACCGGCCACACGGGGACGGGGAUAAGGCCCAGAACCCCUGGGGGGGGAGGGGGGGGGAAAUAUGCCCAAAGGGGGGAAGGCCGAGGCAGCGACGCCGGGGGGGGGAUGACGGCCUUCGGGUUGUAAACCUCUUUCCCCAGGGACGAAGGGCAAGUGACGGUACCUGGAGAAGAAGCACCGGCCAACUACGU